UCAGUUCGGACUGCAGGCUGCAACUCGCCUGCACGAAGUUGGAAUUGCUAGUAAUCGUGGAUCAGCAUGCCACGGUGAAUACGUUCCCGGGUCUUGUACACACCGCCCGUCACACCAUGGGAGCCGGUAAUACCCGAAGUCAGUAGUCUAACCGCAAGGGAGGACGCUGCCGAAGGUAGGAUUGGCGACUGGGGUGAAGUCGUAACAAGGUACC
This 214-nucleotide ribosomal RNA is filed under the name uncultured bacterium. RNAcentral describes it as "partial 16S ribosomal RNA". It matches the Rfam family "Bacterial small subunit ribosomal RNA", at positions 1288 to 1500 of the family's 1533-position model. The record is from RNAcentral.